UACAGAGGGUGCAAGCGUUGUUCGGAAUUAUUGGGCGUAAAGAGCUCGUAGGCGGUCUGUCGCGUCGGCUGUGAAAACCCGAGGCUCAACCUCGGGCCUGCAGUCGAUACGGGCAAACUAGAGUACUGCAGGGGAGACUGGAAUUCCUGGUGUAGCGGUGAAAUGCGCAGAUAUCAGGAGGAACACCCGUGGCGAAAGCGGCUCUCUGGAACGGUACUGACGCUGAGACGCGAAAGCGUGGGGAGCGAACAGG
This 253-nucleotide ribosomal RNA is filed under the name uncultured bacterium. RNAcentral's name for it is "partial 16S ribosomal RNA". It matches the Rfam family "Bacterial small subunit ribosomal RNA", at positions 524 to 776 of the family's 1533-position model. The record is from RNAcentral.